Molecule: ribosomal RNA, 548 nt
Filed under: fungal endophyte
Lineage: Eukaryota; Fungi
Description: eukaryotic LSU rRNA
Rfam family: 5.8S ribosomal RNA (bases 169-322)
Source: RNAcentral
GAAAACGGGGUUGGGACCUCACCUCGGUGAGGGCUCCAGCUUGUCUGAAUUAUUCACCCAUGUGUUUUGCGCACUUCUUGUUUCCUGGGCGGGUUCGCCCGCCACCAGGACCAAACCAUAAACCUUUUUGUAAUUGCAAUCAGCGUCAGUAAACAAUGUAAUUAUUACAACUUUCAACAACGGAUCUCUUGGUUCUGGCAUCGAUGAAGAACGCAGCGAAAUGCGAUACGUAGUGUGAAUUGCAGAAUUCAGUGAAUCAUCGAAUCUUAGAACGCACAUUGCGCCCUUUGGUAUUCGAAAGGGCAUGCCUGUUCGAGCGUCAUUUGUACCCUCAAGCUUUGCUUGGUGUUGGGCGUCUUUGUCUCUCACGAGACUCGCCUUAAAAUGAUUGGCAGCCGACCUACUGGUUUCGGAGCGCAGCACAAUUCUUGCACUUUGAAUCAGCCUUGGUUGAGCAUCCAUCAAGACCACAUUUUCUUAACUUUUGACCUCGGAUCAGGUAGGCUUACCCGCUGAACUUAAGCAUAUCAAUAAGCGGGAGGAACCUA